CGUUAGUGCGGACUAAGUUCUUCGGCCUCUCGACGGCCUUCCUGUGGGCUCCUUCCUCGGGGGCGGCCCGUGGCUGAUCCCAUUACUUUGCUAAAUCUGAGUGCUCAGGUGGGCCUUUCGUUUGUAUGUUUUUGCUUGGAAUGCUAAAAUAUGGCUUCAGUCUCGUUUGAAUGCUGUGUGCGAGGAAUAAUGUAAUAAGAACACACUUCUGGGGGGUUUGUUUUUGGAACCCCAGAGUAAUGAUUCUUGGACCGGAUGGGGGCACCUACAUUGAAACCUUUUGCGUGACUUGUCUGCAUUAACCCAAAACGAACAUAAGAGGAUCCAUUGGGAUCAAACACCGCCCUUGUUCUAAACGUAAACUAUGACGUCCAAAGGUUAUCCGAUGGAAUAUUUGCUCUGGCCAGGAGCUUCCCGGAAAAGAAAGUGGCCCCGCUCCGGGGGAAGCAUGGGGGCAAAUUUGAAACAACACGGAAAACAUCACAGGGCCCCACCACGAGAGGAGCUGACGGAUUAAUAUGUCUCUACAGAUGAGAAGUGUCCUGGCCCAGACCCGUUAUGGAUUGGUGGAGCGAUAGCUCUUUUUAAUUCCGAUGGAUGGUGAGACAUUACCGUUCUAAGUUGGUGGAUUGAUUACAUCUCAAAAUUCCGUCGUCCAGGCCGACUGGUGCUGGGUAAAUAGUACGUUCAUUUCGGCGGUGUAGCAAUACUUCCUAGAGGAACAGGUGG
This 729-nucleotide ribosomal RNA is filed under the name uncultured eukaryote. Its description in RNAcentral is "bacterial SSU rRNA". It matches the Rfam family "Eukaryotic small subunit ribosomal RNA", at positions 670 to 1426 of the family's 1831-position model. The record is from RNAcentral.